AGAGUUUGAUCAUGGCUCAGGAUGAACGCUAGCUACAGGCUUAACACAUGCAAGUCGAGGGGCAGCAUGUUGGUUGCUUGCAACCAAUGAUGGCGACCGGCGCACGGGUGAGUAACGCGUAUCCAACCUACCCUUGUCCAUCGGAUAACCCGUCGAAAGGCGGCCUAACACGAUAUGCGGUUCACAGCAGGCAUCUAAGGUGGACGAAAUGUGAAGGAGAAGGAUGGGGAUGCGUCUGAUUAGCUUGUUGGCGGGGUAACGGCCACAAGGCUACGAUCAGUAGGGUUCUGAGAGGAAGGUCCCCANAUUGGAACUGAGACACGGUCCAAACUCCUACGGGAGGCA
Molecule: ribosomal RNA, 345 nt
Filed under: uncultured bacterium
Lineage: Bacteria
Description: bacterial SSU rRNA
Rfam family: Bacterial small subunit ribosomal RNA
Source: RNAcentral